CGUCAGACGUUACGCGGUGAGAACGUGCUGCCCUCGUCUGGCUCAUAAAGGAAUGUCCGCCGAGCACACAAAGACUGCCAAAUGAUCUCAUUAUAAAGCAGCUCUGCAGAGUCUGUGGGGUAGGGGUGAGGACAAGCUGGAGAUGGAGGAGAUGGUGUUGGAGUAUGCUGCCAUAAAGGGCGAGGCCUCUAAGAGUCUACUGGAGCUGCUGAGAGACAGAAGCUUCCGAUGGCAGCUCAUCACCAUGGUGGUGGUGUACAGCCACAUCCAGUUCUCUGGCAUCACUGCAGAGCUGCUCAAGUCGUUCAGCUUUGUGCUGUUCACCUGCAUGUGUCUGUUGGCGUCACUCUGUCUUCUUCUACCUACUGGAGACCAAGGGGAAAACCCUCCUGGAGAUCUCAGGGAGUUUAAAAACAUCACUCUGUGUGUAAAACCCCUCUCACAUGACAAGACCCUGGAGACAAAGUUAGAAAAACUGUUGGAAGCAAAAUAACUGAGAUGUAUUAUACUCUGUCUGAGUUGUUUAGUUUGUAUUUUAGUAUUGUCCAUCCUAUAUAUUUAUACUGUGCAUUCACAGCCAUAUACCAUAUUCAAUAAAAACAUG
Oncorhynchus kisutch (coho salmon) is the source of this 604-nucleotide long non-coding RNA. RefSeq lists it as uncharacterized. The record is from RefSeq and is a predicted model, not a curated record. The transcript is spliced from 3 exons. NCBI's taxonomy places the organism in Eukaryota, Metazoa, Chordata, Actinopteri, Salmoniformes, Salmonidae.